RNAcentral lists this ribosomal RNA (1244 nucleotides) under metagenome. Its description in RNAcentral is "bacterial SSU rRNA". It matches the Rfam family "Bacterial small subunit ribosomal RNA", at positions 243 to 1498 of the family's 1533-position model. The record is from RNAcentral.
AGCUUGUUGGCGGGGUAACGGCCCACCAAGGCAACGAUCAGUAGGGGUUCUGAGAGGAAGGUCCCCCACAUUGGAACUGAGACACGGUCCAAACUCCUACGGGAGGCAGCAGUGAGGAAUAUUGGUCAAUGGACGAGAGUCUGAACCAGCCAAGUAGCGUGCAGGAAGACGGCCCUAUGGGUUGUAAACUGCUUUUAUAAGGGAAUAAAGUGAGAGUCGUGACUCUUUUUGCAUGUACCUUAUGAAUAAGGACCGGCUAAUUCCGUGCCAGCAGCCGCGGUAAUACGGAAGGUCCGGGCGUUAUCCGGAUUUAUUGGGUUUAAAGGGAGCGUAGGCCGGAGAUUAAGCGUGUUGUGAAAUGUAGGCGCUCAACGUCUGCACUGCAGCGCGAACUGGUUUCCUUGAGUACGCACAAAGUGGGCGGAAUUCGUGGUGUAGCGGUGAAAUGCUUAGAUAUCACGAAGAACUCCGAUUGCGAAGGCAGCUCACUGGAGCGCAACUGACGCUGAAGCUCGAAAGUGCGGGUAUCGAACAGGAUUAGAUACCCUGGUAGUCCGCACGGUAAACGAUGGAUGCCCGCUGUUGGUCUGAAUAGGUCAGCGGCCAAGCGAAAGCAUUAAGCAUCCCACCUGGGGAGUACGCCGGCAACGGUGAAACUCAAAGGAAUUGACGGGGGCCCGCACAAGCGGAGGAACAUGUGGUCUAAUUCGAUGAUACGCGAGGAACCUUACCCGGGCUUGAAUUGCAGAGGAAGGAUUUGGAGACAAUGACGCCCUUCGGGGCCUCUGUGAAGGUGCUGCAUGGUUGUCUCAGCUCGUGCCGUGAGGUGUCGGCUUAAGUGCCAUAACGAGCGCAACCCCACUCCUUAGUUGCCAUCAGGUUAAGCUGGGCACUCUGGGGACACUGCCACCGUAAGGUGUGAGGAAGGUGGGGAUGACGUCAAAUCAGCACGGCCCUUACGUCCGGGGCUACACACGUGUUACAAUGGCAGGUACAGAGAGACGGUUGUACGUAAGUACGAUCAAAUCCUUAAAGCCUGUCUCAGUUCGGACUGGGGUCUGCAACCCGACCCCACGAAGCUGGAUUCGCUAGUAAUCGCGCAUCAGCCAUGGCGCGGUGAAUACGUUCCCGGGCCUUGUACACACCGCCCGUCAAGCCAUGAAAGCCGAGGGCGCCUAAAGUCCGUGACCGUAAGGAGCGGCCUAGGGCGAAACUGGUAAUUGGGGCUAAGUCGUAACAAGGUA